Molecule: ribosomal RNA, 497 nt
Filed under: uncultured bacterium
Lineage: Bacteria
Description: partial 16S ribosomal RNA
Rfam family: Bacterial small subunit ribosomal RNA
Source: RNAcentral
GAUGAACGCUGGCGGCGUGCCUAAUACAUGCAAGUCGAGCGAACAGACGAGGAGCUUGCUUCUCUGACGUUAGCGGCGGACGGGUGAGUAACACGUGGAUAACCUACCUAUAAGACUGGGAUAACUUCGGGAAACCGGAGCUAAUACCGGAUGAUAUUUUGAACCGCAUGGUUCAAUAGUGAAAGACGGUCUUGCUGUCACUUAUAGAUGGAUCCGCGCUGCAUUAGCUAGUUGGUAAGGUAACGGCUUACCAAGGCAACGAUGCAUAGCCGACCUGAGAGGGUGAUCGGCCACACUGGAAAGGAAACACGGUCCAGACUCCUACGGGAGGCAGCAGUAGGGAAUCUUCCGCAAUGGGCGAAAGCCUGACGGAGCAACGCCGCGUGAGUGAUGAAGGUCUUCGGAUCGGAAAAAUCUGUUAUUAGGGAAAAACAUAUGUGUAAGGAACUGUGCACAGCUUGACGGUACCUAAUCAGAAAGCCCCGGCUAACUACGUG